Molecule: microRNA precursor, 87 nt
Filed under: Erinaceus europaeus (western European hedgehog)
Lineage: Eukaryota; Metazoa; Chordata; Mammalia; Eulipotyphla; Erinaceidae
Description: miRNA (ENSEEUG00000023595.1)
Source: RNAcentral
AUCUCGGAAGCUAAGCAGGGUUGGGCCUGGUUAGUACUUGGAUGGGAGAAAUAGACGUACCCUAUGAUCCUGCAAUUCCUCUCCUGG